Molecule: ribosomal RNA, 253 nt
Filed under: uncultured bacterium
Lineage: Bacteria
Description: partial 16S ribosomal RNA
Rfam family: Bacterial small subunit ribosomal RNA
Source: RNAcentral
UACGAAGGGGGCUAGCGUUGUUCGGAUUUACUGGGCGUAAAGCGCACGUAGGCGGAUUGUUAAGUCAGGGGUGAAAUCCCAGAGCUCAACUCUGGAACUGCCUUUGAUACUGGCAAUCUCGAGUCCGGAAGAGGUGAGUGGAACUCCUAGUGUAGAGGUGGAAUUCGUAGAUAUUAGGAAGAACACCAGUGGCGAAGGCGGCUCACUGGUCCGGAACUGACGCUGAGGUGCGAAAGCGUGGGGAGCAAACAGG